AGGGUUUGAUUCUGGCUCAGGACGAACGCUGGCGGCAUGCUUAACACAUGCAAGUCGAACGAGAAAGCUUCUUCGGAAGUGAUUAAAGUGGCGCACGGGUGAGUAACGCGUAGACAAUCUGCCCUUCAGUCCGGGACAACUUUCCGAGAGGGGAGCUAAUACCGGAUGACAAUGUUUAACAUAAGUUGAAUAUUUGAAAGCUCCGGCGCUGAUGGAUGAGUCUGCGUCCCAUUAGUUUGUUGGUGCGGUAGCGGCGCACCAAGGCCACGAUGGGUAGCGGGUUUGAGAGGACGAUCCGCCACACUGGAACUGAGACACGGUCCAGACUCCUACGGGAGGCAGCAGUGGGGAAUAUUGCACAAUGGAGGAAACUCUGAUGCAGCAAUGCCGCGUGAGUGAAGAAGGCCUUUGGGUCGUAAAGCUCUUUUAUGGGGGAAGAUGAUGACGGUACCCCAAGAAUAAGCACCGGCUAACUACGUGCCAGCAGCCGCGGUAAUAC
RNAcentral lists this ribosomal RNA (499 nucleotides) under uncultured bacterium. RNAcentral describes it as "bacterial SSU rRNA". It matches the Rfam family "Bacterial small subunit ribosomal RNA", at positions 8 to 526 of the family's 1533-position model. The record is from RNAcentral.